Long non-coding RNA from Electrophorus electricus (electric eel), 765 nucleotides. RefSeq lists it as uncharacterized. NCBI's taxonomy places the organism in Eukaryota, Metazoa, Chordata, Actinopteri, Gymnotiformes, Gymnotidae. The record is from RefSeq and is a predicted model, not a curated record.
UCUGGACGCCCGGGUGGCUCAGAGCAGCACCACUGACUUACCCUAACCGCCCUCUCUUAGCCGCCAGCGCCACAACCACAGCAAGAUCCUCGUCCUCGCUCACUGGUUGGACGGUGCCGGAGCAAGUCCAGAACUGAGAAUUGCGUCAAAUCUGACAGGGUGUUCCUGGACCAAGAGGACACUGGUAUCUUGAAAGCCAUUCUCCAGCUUUUUGGUGGAUCCUCCCAAGAAGGUGUCAGUCCAUCCUCAGAAACAUGAUGUCCUGAGUUGCUCUGGUUCUUUAACACGUCCUCCUGUAUCCCUUCAGAGGAGACAUCGCCUCCGCUUCGGUCAUCGCAACCUCACGAAACUCAGCUACCACCAAACACUCUAAUCCCACUUUUUUUUUGGUUUACUCUCUUCUACAAUUCGCCCCGUUUGGUCCGGCAUCUCGAAUGGAAACGAAUGUUAAAAAGUGAAGGGAGAGAAUGAGUUGCUGAAUUGUGGAGUCGUUCUCUGAUCAUCGCUGAAGGAUUUCUCAUUCAUUGACGUUUGAGUUUACUUUUUUUUUCCUUUUUUAUUUUUUUGCUCCAUCAUCCAUUUCUUCAAUGUUCCAUGGAUAUCCUACAUCUGCCAUUCAUACACUGGAUUCAUUUCAAGACCUUAGCCUACUCACCUCUCCCAUGACAGCGAACCAGUUGGUAUGCGUGAAAAGCUUUGUGCGAUGCUGCAUUCUGCUUGGGUUGUUCUAGAGAAAGAUGAUGAUUCGAUUGGCCCCAUGUCUCU